This 349-nucleotide ribosomal RNA is filed under the name uncultured Anoxybacillus sp. RNAcentral's name for it is "bacterial SSU rRNA". It matches the Rfam family "Bacterial small subunit ribosomal RNA", at positions 1033 to 1382 of the family's 1533-position model. Lineage: Bacteria; Bacillati; Bacillota; Bacilli; Caryophanales; Anoxybacillaceae. The record is from RNAcentral.
GGCAGGUGGUGCAUGGUUGUCGUCAGCUCGUGUCGUGAGAUGUUGGGUUAAGUCCCGCAACGAGCGCAACCCUCGACCUUAGUUGCCAGCAUUCAGUUGGGCACUCUAAGGUGACUGCCGGCUAAAAGUCGGAGGAAGGUGGGGAUGACGUCAAAUCAUCAUGCCCCUUAUGACCUGGGCUACACACGUGCUACAAUGGGCGGUACAAAGGGUCGCGAACCCGCGAGGGGGAGCCAAUCCCAAAAAAGCCGCUCUCAGUUCGGAUUGCAGGCUGCAACUCGCCUGCAUGAAGCCGGAAUCGCUAGUAAUCGCGGAUCAGCAUGCCGCGGUGAAUACGUUCCCGGGCCUU